CCUACGGGUGGCAGUAGUGAGGAAUAUUGGUCAAUGGACGAGAGUCUGAACCAGCCAAGUAGCGUGAAGGAUGACUGCCCUAUGGGUUGUAAACUUCUUUUAUAUGGGAGUAAAAUGUUCCACGUGUGGGAUUUUGUAUGUACCAUAUGAAUAAGGAUCGGCUAACUCCGUGCCAGCAGCCGCGGUAAUACGGAGGAUCCGAGCGUUAUCCGGAUUGAUUGGGUUUAAAGGGAGCGUAGGUGGAUUGUUAAGUCAGUUGUGAAAGUUUGCGGCUCAACCGUAAAAUUGCAGUUGAAACUGGCAGUCUUGAGUACAGUAGAGGUGGGCGGAAUGCGUGGUGUAGCGGUGAAAUGCGUAGAUAUCACGAAGAACUCCGAUUGCGAAGGCAGCUUACUGGACUGCAACUGACACUGAGGCUCGAAAGUGUGGGUAUCAAACAGGAUUAGAUACCCGUGUAGUC
RNAcentral lists this ribosomal RNA (460 nucleotides) under uncultured bacterium. RNAcentral's name for it is "partial 16S ribosomal RNA". It matches the Rfam family "Bacterial small subunit ribosomal RNA", at positions 338 to 795 of the family's 1533-position model. The record is from RNAcentral.